Molecule: ribosomal RNA, 400 nt
Filed under: uncultured bacterium
Lineage: Bacteria
Description: bacterial SSU rRNA
Rfam family: Bacterial small subunit ribosomal RNA
Source: RNAcentral
GAAUCUUAGACAAUGGGCGCAAGCCUGAUCUAGCCAUGCCGCGUGAGUGAUGAAGGCCUUAGGGUCGUAAAGCUCUUUCGCCAGAGAUGAUAAUGACAGUAUCUGGUAAAGAAACCCCGGCUAACUCCGUGCCAGCAGCCGCGGUAAUACGGAGGGGGUUAGCGUUGUUCGGAAUUCAUGGGCGUAAAGCGCACGUAGGCGGAUCAGAAAGUUGGGGGUGAAAUCCCGGGGCUCAACCCCGGAACGGCCUCCAAAACUCCUGGUCUUGAGUUCGAGAGAGGUGAGUGGAAUUCCGAGUGUAGAGGUGAAAUUCGUAGAUAUUCGGAGGAACACCAGUGGCGAAGGCGGCUCACUGGCCCGCAACUGACGCUGAGGUGCGAAAGCGUGGGGAGCAUACAGG